RNAcentral lists this ribosomal RNA (133 nucleotides) under Octodon degus (degu). The record is from RNAcentral. Lineage: Eukaryota; Metazoa; Chordata; Mammalia; Rodentia; Octodontidae.
CUUUGACCAUGGUAUACAUGCCCAAACUCAUCUGAUAUUGGUAGUGAAGCAUAGCUGGUCCUUGUUAGUACUUGGAUGGGACAAAGAAGUAACCAUGCUGGGGAAGCAAAUUAAGAGAGGGGAAAGACAAAGA